Molecule: long non-coding RNA, 1694 nt
Organism: Zea mays
Lineage: Eukaryota; Viridiplantae; Streptophyta; Magnoliopsida; Poales; Poaceae
Exons: 6
Source: RefSeq, a predicted model, not a curated record
GGAGGAUGUAUUUGCAGAGUUUUUUUAUCGUUGGGCAGCCAGUGAAUUACCAGCCAGAACGAAGGUGAUGAGAUGGCGUCAAAGGUAGCUUUUGAUCACCCAGAACGAUUCUCCGAAAAGUUCGAGUUCAGUGCAGACAACAUUAAGCCCCUGGUUCAGACAUGCAUGACAACUCUAUCCUCAAAGAUAGCUGAAGAAGGGGCAUCUGUUUGAAGGAUGGACUGAAGGGGUCAUCAACUUUUGGGUGCUAUUAAAGUGUCCAUAUACCAAACACAGUUUUGCUUUAUAUGUUGUCACCUGACCUAUGGAGAAAAGGAAGGAGAUGAACUAAAAAGGAAUGCUGAUGUUCAAGAAAUCCACCGAAGGACAAUAUUUAAUCCAGUUUCGAGAGUCAACAUGCCUAAAACGAUAUAUGAUCAUGAAAGGAAUGUAUGGCUAGGUGAUCUCAACUAUAGGAUCAACUUACCAUAUGAGAAGACACACGAACUCAUAUCCAAGCAGGAUUGGAACGAAUUGUUUGGGAAAGACCAGCUGAAAGUAGAGCUGAAGAAGGGCAUCUGUUUGAAGGAUGGACCGAAGGGGUCAUCAACUUUCCUCCAACGUGUAAGUACAAGGUUAACUCAGAAAAGUACAUAAGUGAUGAUAACAAAUCUAGAAGGAGAACACCUGCAUGGUAUAUUUUUGUUCUAAACUUACACUAAUGUCUUAACAGUGCAUACACGAGUCAAGUCUUCUUGCAAAUAUAACAAAAGUAUUUAGUAAUCACAGUAUUAGAAUUUAAACAGUCAUUGGUUCCCUGCUGUUCAGCUUCACUACUUUAUUAAUUGAAAAACAUUCUAUUAGAUCCAACUGAAAUAAAACGACAGGCGGUUAAAAGUGUUAAUUCUCAAAUUCGGUGUGUUGCUUCCUUACUCAUACUUAUAUUAUGGUGUGUAACUCUGUACAAGAUUAAAUGGUUGAAAUGCCCCACCGGUGCAUCUUUUGGUUUCGGUGGUAAACUUGUUUCUUUCCAUCCGGUGGCACCCACCCAAGGUGCGCAAACAUCUACAUCUGAGGUACAUGUGCACAAUUUGGUGAUUGAGCAAAGUCUGGUGAGCCAAUCAACUGAAUUUGAAGCUGUUAUUCAGAAUGGCGACAAAAGUUCGCUACGUGCUCUGUGUGAAAAAAAUACCAAGAAUCUUUAUCUGACGAGGAGAGAGAAACCUGGGGCUUCUUAAGGGUUAUGUUUGAGGACGGGGAUUUUGCAAGGACAAAAUUGCUUGCUCAUCUUGGCUUCGAACCACCUCAGGCACCGCCUGCAAGUUCAACUAAUGAAUUGAGCCAAAUAUUGGCAGAUACACUUAAUAUUGAUCAUGCUGCAGUAACCGAUAAUGCGGAUGCCCAGUUUCUUAUUGAUAAUGGGGAUGAUUUUUUCAACAAUCCUCAACCUUCAGAGGCUAGCUUGGCUGAAGAAUCAGUUUCUACAAAUGGUCAACAGAUAGAACAGGAAGUUUCUGGAGAUGCUGUGCCAUCAGAUCCAUCAAUUGACAAAAGCAUUCAACAUGCGUUGGUGGUUGGAGACUACAAAGGGGAAGUUAACUAGUGUCUUGCUUCUAAUCGUAUGGCUGAUGCUUUGGUUAUAGCCCAUGCAGGUGGUUCUGCUCUCUGGGAAAGCACAAGAAAUCAUUAUCUCAAGAACAUUAUCUCACCCUACU